This 391-nucleotide unclassified non-coding RNA is filed under the name soil metagenome. RNAcentral's name for it is "partial contains 5.8S ribosomal RNA, internal transcribed spacer 2, and large subunit ribosomal RNA". The stretch from base 1 to 122 matches the Rfam family "5.8S ribosomal RNA", at positions 35 to 154 of the family's 154-position model. The record is from RNAcentral.
GAUGAAGAACGUAGCGAAAUGCGAUACUUGGUGUGAAUUGCAGAAUCCCGUGAACCAUCGAGUCUUUGAACGCAAGUUGCGCCCGAAGCCAUUAGGCCGAGGGCACGCCUGCCUGGGCGUCACACGUCGUUGCCCCCCCAUCUACUCCUUCGGGAUUGCGGGGGGCGGAUGAUGGCCUCCCGUGCGCCUCGUCGCGCGGUUGGCAUAAAUGCCAAGUCCUCGGCGACGCACGCCACGACAAUCGGUGGUUGCGAAACCUCGGUUGCCGGUCGUGUGCGGUCGUCGCGCAUCGAGGGCUCGAAAAAAUUGCCGGGCUCCGGCUCGGCUUUCAACGCGACCCCAGGUCAGGCGGGGUUACCCGCUGAAUUUAAGCAUAUCAAUAAGCGGAGGA